GCCCGGAUGGUGGAACUGGUAGACACAAGGGAUUUAAAAUCCCUCGGGGGCGACUCUGUGCGGGUUCGAGUCCCGCUCCGGGCACCA
This 87-nucleotide transfer RNA is filed under the name Desulfuromonadales bacterium. RNAcentral's name for it is "tRNA-Leu". It matches the Rfam family "tRNA". Rfam says of the family: Transfer RNA (tRNA) molecules are approximately 80 nucleotides in length. Their secondary structure includes four short double-helical elements and three loops (D, anti-codon, and T loops). The record is from RNAcentral. Lineage: Bacteria; Pseudomonadati; Thermodesulfobacteriota; Desulfuromonadia; Desulfuromonadales.